RNAcentral lists this ribosomal RNA (468 nucleotides) under uncultured bacterium. Its description in RNAcentral is "partial 16S ribosomal RNA". It matches the Rfam family "Bacterial small subunit ribosomal RNA", at positions 28 to 507 of the family's 1533-position model. The record is from RNAcentral.
GACGAACGCUGGCGGCGUGCUUAACACAUGCAAGUCGAACGGAAAGGCCCUGCUUUUGUUGGGUGCUCGAGUGGCGAACGGGUGAGUAACACGUGAGUAACCUGCCCUUGACUUUGGGAUAACUUCAGGAAACUGGGGCUAAUACCGGAUAGGAGCUCCUGCUGCAUGGUGGGGGUUGGAAAGUUUCGGCGGUUGGGGAUGGACUCGCGGCUUAUCAGCUUGUUGGUGGGGUAGUGGCUUACCAAGGCUUUGACGGGUAGCCGGCCUGAGAGGGUGACCGGCCACAUUGGGACUGAGAGACGGCCCAGACUCCUACGGGAGGCAGCAGGGGGGAAUAUUGCACAAUGGGCGGAAGCCUGAUGCAGCAACGCCGCGUGCGGGAUGAAGGCCUUCGGGGUGUAAACCGCUGUCGCCUGUGACGAAGCGUGAGUGACGGUAAUGGGUAAAGAAGCACCGGCUAACUACGUG